Molecule: long non-coding RNA, 686 nt
Filed under: Toxoplasma gondii VEG
Lineage: Eukaryota; Apicomplexa; Conoidasida; Eucoccidiorida; Sarcocystidae
Source: RNAcentral
UGCAUAUGUAUAUGGGUAUUUAUGUGUACAAAUGUAUAUAUGUGUAGGCCUGUGUUUCCGUUUGUAGGUUUAUCUGAAGUGGGCGAUCGACAGCUGUGGUGGAGCGAUGGAGUGUUUGUGUGUGUGGAGGCGCGUCUAGACAUGAAAACGAAGGUGGAACGUGCUUGGCCCCCAGGAGCAUUUCAAGGCGAAUCGCCGUUCUUCGUCCUUCGACUGGUUUUUCCACCUCGAGUGCAUGCGGUCACGGAACGCUGUGGCUUCGUCGUUUAUUGGGGGGGGCAUAUUUGUUUUACGCGGACCCCCCACCACCACGAGUGGAGAACACCUCGUCCCUCAUCGAUGCGAGCACUGAAAGGCUCCUUAAUCUCUCGUUCCGCGCUUCCCCUCUCCCGCCCUCACUCUCUCGUCUGCUCGCCGUCUCUCCUUAACUCGUGAUAUCUCGUCUCUCCUCGCUUCUUCCCUCGUUCACUCGUGUUCACUCUUCUCUUCCCGGAUGUCAUGCGAGUCUCUCCUUCGCUUAUGCGUGCUUCGUGUCUUCUGUUCUCUUCUUCUCUCUCUGUUUCUCUUGUUCUCCUGUCAGUCGUCCUUGUGCGACGGCGCUCGGCGCUGUCUCCGUCCUUUCCUCGUCCUUCGCAGGCAGCAGCGUCGUCGCAACGUCGCUAUCUUGUACGCAGACAUGGUCGGCA